This 253-nucleotide ribosomal RNA is filed under the name uncultured bacterium. RNAcentral's name for it is "partial 16S ribosomal RNA". It matches the Rfam family "Bacterial small subunit ribosomal RNA", at positions 524 to 776 of the family's 1533-position model. The record is from RNAcentral.
GACGAAGGAUGCAAGCGUUAUCCGGAUUCAUUGGGUUUAAAGGGUGCGUAGGCGGUCGUGCAAGUCGGAUGUGAAAUCUCGGGGCUCAACCCCGAAACUGCAUUCGAUACUGCGUGGCUCGAGUACUGGAGAGGAGACUGGAAUUUACGGUGUAGCAGUGAAAUGCGUAGAUAUCGUAAGGAAGACCAGUGGCGAAGGCGAGUCUCUGGACAGUUACUGACGCUGAGGCACGAAGGCCAGGGGAGCAAACGGG